UAUUUUGACUAUACGAAGGUAUUGAAAUAAGAUUUUAAAUGAGUGCUAAGAGAAUGAUUAAACAAUUAAAAGCUUUCUUUAAUUGAAUAAUUGAAUUUAAUUUUUUAGUGCAAAAGCAAAAAUAAAAAUUAGGGACAAGAAGACCCUAUGAAUUUUUUAUUAAAUUUUAUAAAACUUUAUAUAAAAUUUAAUUUAAUUGGGGUGAUGGAAAAAGAAUAAAUAUCUUUUUUUAAAAGAAAAUUGGUUCCGUUCUUAGCGAUUAAAUGAAAAAAAUA
Molecule: ribosomal RNA, 275 nt
Filed under: Ixodes ricinus (castor bean tick)
Lineage: Eukaryota; Metazoa; Arthropoda; Arachnida; Ixodida; Ixodidae
Description: partial large subunit ribosomal RNA
Source: RNAcentral